UACAGAGGUCCCAAGCGUUGUUCGGAUUCAUUGGGCGUAAAGGGUGCGUAGGUGGCGCCGUAAGUGGGGUGUGAAAUUUCGGAGCUUAACUCCGAAACUGCAUUCCAUACUGCGGUGCUUGAGGACUGGAGAGGAGACUGGAAUUUACGGUGUAGCAGUGAAAUGCGUAGAGAUCGUAAGGAAGACCAGUGGCGAAGGCGGGUCUCUGGACAGUUCCUGACACUGAGACACGAAGGCCAGGGGAGCAAACGGG
Molecule: ribosomal RNA, 253 nt
Filed under: uncultured bacterium
Lineage: Bacteria
Description: partial 16S ribosomal RNA
Rfam family: Bacterial small subunit ribosomal RNA
Source: RNAcentral